RNAcentral lists this unclassified non-coding RNA (654 nucleotides) under Hevea brasiliensis (rubber tree). Lineage: Eukaryota; Viridiplantae; Streptophyta; Magnoliopsida; Malpighiales; Euphorbiaceae. The record is from RNAcentral.
GUGGAAAACUAAUUUUAGGGAAUUUUUGUUUAUUUAAUUAUAAAAUUCAUUUUUUUGGCAAAUUUUUUAUUUUGGCAAUUUAGGGCUUGUAAGAAUGCAGCAAUACUUGGUGGUUUGAGUUGAAUUUAGGUCUGAAAGGGUCCUAUGAACAGUACAUGUGCUACUGUAGCAGCAGGCCAAAAGAGGAUGAGCAGCAGAGGAGGGGAAGACGAGAAAACUAGGCAGACUGGCCUUUCAAACCAAAUCAAAAUUCUCAAAAUUCAAUUAUGAAAGCAUAAGCCUAAAAAAUAGGUAGUUACACAAGUAUUUAUAGAGGCUGCAAUAAAUAUUGCUUCUCCUAGGAUUAGGAAUCCCAAUCUAGGAAUAUCUUAACCCAAUACUUAAUGGGAACCCAACUUUUUAAUUUUUAAUAAGAAAUCCCUAAUGAAAAAUUUUAAAAAAUCCUAAAUAGUACUAAAACCCUACAUUUCUGUCUUAGAUCUGCAUUUUCCCUUCUUGUGAAGUGUUGAAAGUUGAAACUGCUGUAUUGCUUUUGGCACUAUCUUUUCUAUAUGAGUAAGUUCUGCAAUCUUUCUAGGGGUUUCUAAAAAUUUCUUGCAUACUUGUUCUCAAAACUCACAUCAGUGCAUGAUUUUAUGGCGUAGGAAUCAUAAA